GACGAACGCUGGCGGCGUGCUUAACACAUGCAAGUCGAACGGAAAGGCCCUGCUUUUGUGGGGUGCUCGAGUGGCGAACGGGUGAGUAGCACGUGAGUAACCUGCCCUUGACUUUGGGAUAACUUCAGGAAACUGGGGCUAAUACCGGAUAGGAGCUCCUGCUGCAUGGUGGGGGUUGGAAAGUUUCGGCGGUUGGGGAUGGACUCGCGGCUUAUCAGCUUGUUGGUGGGGUAGUGGCUUACCAAGGCUUUGACGGGUAGCCGGCCUGAGAGGGUGACCGGCCACAUUGGGACUGAGAUACGGCCCAGACUCCUACGGGAGGCAGCAGGGGGGAAUAUGGCACAAUGGGCGGAAGCCUGAUGCAGCAACGCCGCGUGCGGGAUGACGGCCUUCGGGUUGUAAACCGCUUACGCCUGUGACGAAGCGUGAGUGACGGUAAUGGGUAAAGAAGCACCGGCUAACUACGUG
RNAcentral lists this ribosomal RNA (468 nucleotides) under uncultured bacterium. RNAcentral's name for it is "partial 16S ribosomal RNA". It matches the Rfam family "Bacterial small subunit ribosomal RNA", at positions 28 to 507 of the family's 1533-position model. The record is from RNAcentral.